This 432-nucleotide ribosomal RNA is filed under the name uncultured bacterium. RNAcentral describes it as "bacterial SSU rRNA". It matches the Rfam family "Bacterial small subunit ribosomal RNA", at positions 29 to 506 of the family's 1533-position model. The record is from RNAcentral.
ACGAACGCUGGCGGCAUGCCUAACACAUGCAAGUCGAACGCCCUGGUUCGCCAGGGAGUGGCGCACGGGUGAGUAACGCGUGGGAACCUGCCCGGCAGUACGGGACAACCGCGGGAAACUGCGGCUGAUACCGUAUACGGCCUGAGGGCGAAAGAAGUUCGCUGUCGGAGGGGCCCGCGUCGGAUUAGGUAGUUGGUGGGGUAACGGCCUACCAAGCCUGCGAUCCGUAGCUGGUCUGAGAGGAUGAUCAGCCACACUGGGACUGAGACACGGCCCAGACUCCUACGGGAGGCAGCAGUGGGGAAUAUUGGACAAUGGGCGCAAGCCUGAUCCAGCAAUGCCGCGUGAGUGAUGAAGGCCUUAGGGUUGUAAAGCUCUUUCGCCCGCGACGAUGAUGACGGUAGCGGGAGAAGAAGCCCCGGCUAACUCCGU